This 830-nucleotide ribosomal RNA is filed under the name Aquatica ficta. Its description in RNAcentral is "partial 16S rRNA". The record is from RNAcentral. Lineage: Eukaryota; Metazoa; Arthropoda; Insecta; Coleoptera; Lampyridae.
UAAUUCUCUUAUUAUUUAUUUAUUAAUUAAUUUUUAAUUAAUAAAUUUUAGUAUGAAAUAUUUAAAGGGAUGAGCUUUUAUUUAUAUAAUUAAAAAUUUUAUUUUUAUUUAUUUUUUGUAUAAUUUAGAUUGUUAAUCAUAUGAAUAAUUUAAUAUUUAAUUUUAUUAUAUUUAAGAUUUAUAUUAGUUUUAGUUUUUAUAUUAAAAAUUUUUGUUUAAUUUUGUUUCUUUAGUAAUAAUGAUAAAAUUAGUAGAUUAAUAUGUAUAUAGUGUUAGAUUUUUUAGGUAAUAAAAAGGAACUCGGCAAAUUAAUUUUCUGCCUGUUUAUUAAAAACAUGUCUUUUUGAUAAUAAUUUAAGGUUUAAUCUGCUCAAUGAAUAGUUAAAUUGCCGCAGUAUUUUGACUGUGCAAAGGUAGCAUAAUAAUUAGCUUUUUUAUUGGAAGCUGGAAUGAAUGAUUGGACAAGAAAAUUUCUGUCUCUUUAUUAUUUUUUUUUGAAUUUUACUUUUAAGUUAAAAGGCUUAAAUUUUUUUAAAAGACGAGAAGACCCUAUAGAGUUUAAUUUUUUUAUUAUUUAGGAUUUAUUAGAAUUUAAGUAAUUUUAUUUAUAAAAAAAUUUGGUUGGGGUGACUGAAAGAUAAAAUUAACUCUUUUAAUUAUAAUCAAUUAUGUUUGAAUUUGAAAUCUAUAUUUAUAAGUUUAAAGUAAAUUACCUUAGGGAUAACAGCGUAAUUUUUUUUUAGAGUUCUUAUUAAAAGAAAAGUUUGCGACCUCGAUGUUGGAUUAAAAUUUAUUUUGGGUGUAGAAGCUUAAAUAUUAAGUCUGUUCGA